GCCUGGGUGGCUCAGUUGGUUGAGUGUCCGACUUCGGCUCAGGUCAUGAUCUCACGGUUCAUGGGUUCAAGCCCCAUGUCGGGCU
This 85-nucleotide transfer RNA is filed under the name Felis catus (domestic cat). It matches the Rfam family "tRNA". From Rfam's summary of the family: Transfer RNA (tRNA) molecules are approximately 80 nucleotides in length. Lineage: Eukaryota; Metazoa; Chordata; Mammalia; Carnivora; Felidae. The record is from Rfam by way of RNAcentral.